This 190-nucleotide ribosomal RNA is filed under the name Geobacillus stearothermophilus. RNAcentral's name for it is "partial 16S ribosomal RNA". It matches the Rfam family "Bacterial small subunit ribosomal RNA", at positions 1 to 184 of the family's 1533-position model. Lineage: Bacteria; Bacillati; Bacillota; Bacilli; Caryophanales; Anoxybacillaceae. The record is from RNAcentral.
UUCUUUGGAGAGUUUGAUCCUGGCUCAGGACGAACGCUGGCGGCGUGCCUAAUACAUGCAAGUCGAGCGGACCGGAUUGGGGCUUGCCUUGAUUCGGUCAGCGGCGGACGGGUGAGUAACACGUGGGCAACCUGCCCGCAAGACCGGGAUAACUCCGGGAAACCGGAGCUAAUACCGGAUAACACCGAAG